RNAcentral lists this ribosomal RNA (253 nucleotides) under uncultured bacterium. Its description in RNAcentral is "partial 16S ribosomal RNA". It matches the Rfam family "Bacterial small subunit ribosomal RNA", at positions 524 to 776 of the family's 1533-position model. The record is from RNAcentral.
UACGAAGGGGGCUAGCGUUGUUCGGAAUUACUGGGCGUAAAGCGCGCGCAGGCGGUCCUUCAAGUCAGAGGUGAAAGCCCAGAGCUCAACUCUGGAAUGGCCUUUGAGACUAGAGGACUUGGGUACGGGAGAGGUGAGUGGAAUUCCGAGUGUAGAGGUGAAAUUCGUAGAUAUUCGCAAGAACACCAGUGGCGAAGGCGGCUCACUGGCCCGAUACUGACGCUGAGGUGCGAAAGCGUGGGGAGCAAACAGG